Molecule: ribosomal RNA, 444 nt
Filed under: uncultured Alphaproteobacteria bacterium
Lineage: Bacteria; Pseudomonadati; Pseudomonadota; Alphaproteobacteria
Description: bacterial SSU rRNA
Rfam family: Bacterial small subunit ribosomal RNA
Source: RNAcentral
AGAGUUUGAUCCUGGCUCAGAACGAACGCUGGCGGCAGGCCUAACACAUGCAAGUCGAGGGAGAAGCUACUUUCGGGUAGUGGAGACCGGCAGACGGGUGAGUAACACGUGGGAACAUACCUAGUAGUGGGGGAUAACAGUUGGAAACGACUGCUAAUACCGCAUACGCCCUUCGGGGGAAAGAUUUAUCGCUAUUAGAUUGGCCCGCGUUAGAUUAGCUAGUUGGUAAGGUAACGGCUUACCAAGGCGACGAUCUAUAGCUGGUUUGAGAGGAUGAUCAGCCACACUGGGACUGAGACACGGCCCAGACUCCUACGGGAGGCAGCAGUGGGGAAUAUUGCGCAAUGGAGGAAACUCUGACGCAGCCAUGCCGCGUGAGUGAAGAAGGCCUUAGGGUUGUAAAGCUCUUUCAGACGUGAUGAUGAUGACAGUAACGUCAAAAGA